Bos taurus (domestic cattle) is the source of this 678-nucleotide long non-coding RNA. The record is from Ensembl. Lineage: Eukaryota; Metazoa; Chordata; Mammalia; Artiodactyla; Bovidae.
CUCUGCCCUGAGAGGAGCGGAAGGCAGCAUGUUGGGAAAUCAGAGACUUUAUAGAUGGUUGUAUCUCCAAAAAGUUGUAAAUUGCUGCAUAAUAUUCUAUGAGAGCCUCUUGUACUGCAAGGAGAUCCAAACAGUCCAUCCUAAAGGAGAUCAGUCAUGGAUGUUCAUUGGAAGGACUGAUGUUGAAGCUGAAACUCCAAUACUUUGGCCACCUGAUGUGAAGAGCUGACUCAUUUGAAAAGACCCUGAUGCUGGGAAAGAUUGAGGCAGGAGGAGAAGGGGACGACAGAAGAUGAGAUGGUUGGAUGGCAUCACCGACUCAAUGGACAUGGGUUUGGGUAGACUCUGGCAGUUGGUGAUGGACAGGGAGGCCUGGCCUGCUGUGGUUCAUGGAGUUACAAAGAGUCAGACACGACUGAGUGACGGAACUGAAUUGAACUGAUUCUAUGUUUCGUGCUUACCAUUCUUACCUACUUUCCCAGUAUGGACACUCAGAUUGCUUCCAAUUUCCCAUUGCCAUGAAUAAUGCUGCAAUCACCAUUAUAUAAUAGAAAAUGUGUUUGGGAUUUAUACCCAGGAGGGGAUUUUCUGGGUUAUGUGUUCUUUGUUGUUUAGUUGCUAAGUCAUGUCUGACUCUUUUUGACCCCAUGGACUGCAGCUUUCCAAUAUGACCCAUCC